GUCUCUGCUCAUGAUUUUUUAAAUUGCUGUGGUAUUUUGACUAUACAAAGGUAUUGAAAUAAGAUUUUAAUUGAAUGCUAAGAGAACGGAAGUCCAGAAAAAAACUUUUUUUAAAUUAAAAAUUGAAGUUUUUUUAAUUUGUGCAGAAACAAUUAUUUAUAUUAAAGACAAGAAGACCCUAUGAAUUUAUUAAAUUUUUAUUUAAUAUGUAAUUACUAUUAGAAAAAUUUUGGCUGGGGCGGCUAGAAAAUAUUAUAAACUUUUUAAAAAUAAAAUGAUCCAUUAUUAAUGAUUUUAUGUUAAAUACUCUAGGGAUAACAGCGUUAUAUUUUUUGAUAGAUCAU
Molecule: ribosomal RNA, 344 nt
Filed under: Rhipicephalus sanguineus (brown dog tick)
Lineage: Eukaryota; Metazoa; Arthropoda; Arachnida; Ixodida; Ixodidae
Description: partial large subunit ribosomal RNA
Source: RNAcentral